UACGAAGGGGGCUAGCGUUGCUCGGAAUCACUGGGCGUAAAGCGCACGUAGGCGGAUUGCUAAGUCAGGGGUGAAAUCCUGGAGCUCAACUCCAGAACUGCCUUUGAUACUGGCGACCUUGAGUCCGGGAGAGGUGAGUGGAACUGCGAGUGUAGAGGUGAAAUGCGUAGAUAUCUGGAGGAACACCGGUGGCGAAGGCGACAUCCUGGACCGGUAUUGACGCUGAGGCGCGAAAGCCAGGGGAGCAAACGGG
This 253-nucleotide ribosomal RNA is filed under the name uncultured bacterium. Its description in RNAcentral is "partial 16S ribosomal RNA". It matches the Rfam family "Bacterial small subunit ribosomal RNA", at positions 524 to 776 of the family's 1533-position model. The record is from RNAcentral.